Molecule: ribosomal RNA, 497 nt
Filed under: uncultured bacterium
Lineage: Bacteria
Description: partial 16S ribosomal RNA
Rfam family: Bacterial small subunit ribosomal RNA
Source: RNAcentral
GAUGAACGCUGGCGGCGUGCCUAAUACAUGCAAGUCGAGCGAACGGACGAGAAGCUUGCUUUUCUGAUGUUAGCGGCGGACGGGUGAGUAACACGUGGAUAACCUACCUAUAAGACUGGGAUAACUUCGGGAAACCGGAGCUAAUACCGGAUAAUAUUUUGAACCGCAUGGUUCAAAAGUGAAAGACGGUCUUGCUGUCACUUAUAGAUGGAUCCGCGCUGCAUUAGCUAGUUGGUAAGGUAACGGCUUACCAAGGCAACGAUGCAUAGCCGACCUGAGAGGGUGAUAGGCCACACUGGAACUGAGACAAGGUCCAGACUCCUACGGGAGGCAGCAGUAGGGAAUCUUCCGCAAUGGGCGAAAGCCUGACGGAGCAAAGCCGCGUGAGUGAUGAAGGUCUUCGGAUCGUAAAACUCUGUUAUUAGGGAAGAACAUAUGUGUAAGUAACUGUGCACAUCUUGACGGUACCUAAUCAGAAAGCCACGGCUAACUACGUG